UUGAUCUGACAAAUAACAAGGACCAGGAACACCGGGUCGAGCUACAAAGAUUCCAUGGAGACAAAGCAUACGACCAGUACUCCACUUUUUAUGUCCUGGAUGAAAAGAGUAAAUACAGACUCACUGUGUCCGGGUAUUCAGGAACCGCAGGUGACAGUUUAAAGUAUCACAAUGGUAGUAAAUUCAGCACUAAGGAUCAGGAUAACGACAGGAGUAGUGUUAACUGUGCUAUCUACUAUCAAGGGGACUGGUGGUUCAACAGCUGUUCUCAUUCAAACCUUAACGGACAGAACGCCAAGUCUGCCGUGUCUUAUACUAAGUGCAUUGUAUGGCAGAGCUGGAAGGGUAAUGAAGCUCUAAAAAGGACUGUGAUGAUGAUCAGGCACAAAAACUAAAGAAUUUGAUAAUGCAUGAUAAGUCCUGAGAAGAAUGCAUCGGCAUCGGUCGUACAAUAAACCUGCAAUACACGA
Saccostrea cuccullata (small rock oyster) is the source of this 470-nucleotide long non-coding RNA. RefSeq lists it as uncharacterized. Lineage: Eukaryota; Metazoa; Mollusca; Bivalvia; Ostreida; Ostreidae. The record is from RefSeq and is a predicted model, not a curated record. The transcript has 2 exons.